Molecule: ribosomal RNA, 253 nt
Filed under: uncultured bacterium
Lineage: Bacteria
Description: partial 16S ribosomal RNA
Rfam family: Bacterial small subunit ribosomal RNA
Source: RNAcentral
UACAGAGGGUGCAAGCGUUGUUCGGAAUUAUUGGGCGUAAAGGGCGCGUAGGCGGUGCUGUAAGUCUGUAGUGAAAUCUCUGGGCUCAACUCAGAGUCUGCUAUAGAAACUGCAGUGCUGGAGUGUGGGAGAGGUGAGUGGAAUUCCCGGUGUAGCGGUGAAAUGCGUAAAUAUCGGGAGGAACACCUGUGGCGAAAGCGGCUCACUGGACCACAACUGACGCUGAGGCGCGAAAGCUAGGGGAGCAAACAGG